CUGCCUGAAUCAUGUUUAUGAGGAAGACAAAAAUAUGUUGUUCCCUCUUAAAAUAAUUACAGUUCGUUCAACAGAUACUCACUGAAUGCUCACUGUGUACCACAUGCUGUACUUCCAAGAAGACAACUUCCGGGUUCCAAGUAAAGUCAGAAAUAAGCACACUGCUGAAGGUGCACUGAACUGGUCCUUUCAGAUGAAAAGGGAGAUGUCUACGUAAUAACGUCCAUAUACUUUAAGAAAGACAUUGCAUCUAUCAUGCUUCUGCUUCCAGUCAAGAUGGAGCACUCCAUUUCUUGCAGAUGCUCCCUCUUACAACUGUGGCCAUAACACAACAAACAGACCUAGGGAAACUAAAAAGAGGAAAGAAGGUGGACUGCCUAGGGAUUUGGGGACUUGAGAAACAAA
Molecule: long non-coding RNA, 405 nt
Organism: Homo sapiens (human)
Lineage: Eukaryota; Metazoa; Chordata; Mammalia; Primates; Hominidae
Exons: 3
Source: RefSeq, a predicted model, not a curated record